UGCCUCUUUAUAGAAGUCCACUUUCCUGAGGCUUUGUGGUCUUUCACCAACUCCUGAGUGGAGUCUCAGAGGAAGGAAGUGCCGCUGGGGCGCGGGGCACCACAGUGUCCCCAAACCCAUCCGAGGAUUACACCCUUUUCCCAUUCCCUCACUGCCGGUCAGUGACAUCACGCACGCUAUAAAUCCAAACGCUACUCCAAGCUGUGCAGCGGGCGGCCGAGAGAUGUGGGGACAUUAUCGGAGUCACCGCAGUGCCACGGACGCUGCCGCAGUUUCGGUCCAGCCCGUGGUGUGUCAGAAAGCUCCUACACGAAUAAGGACAGAGGAGCAUGUCUCCAUCCUCAGCCCUUGCGUUCUCCCAGCCUCGGCAAUUCCGCUUCUGCUCCGCACCGAGGAAAGCACCUCUGCCGAACGCAGCCGGAGGAGCGCCGUGUGCCGGCCAUCGCUGUAGGCGCUGUGCCGGUGACUUCCGCGGGGUUCUACGGACGCGUGGUGCCCGCGUCCUCACUGCAAUCUAAAAAUCUGCACCGGAGAUGCGUUAUUUCCUUAGAACAGUACAACAUAUGUGCGCAUACAGAGAUAGAGAUUUAUCAGUCGUUUUAGUGCAAGCAUGCGUUCGUAUGACCGAACGUGUAUUUACAUACGUUCUGCGUCUGGACUGGCUUUGCCUUUUCAUGGCGUACACUGGACGCACACACGGAUUUAUACUCAUACGCACGCACAGCCGCUUUCUGUCCCGUUGCACUGUCCCCAGAGACUGCACACCGCUCUCCCCUUCCCUCUGGAGCCUGGCAUCACCCGCUCUGCUCCCCAGUCGUGCCCGCCGAGCCCGCCACUCCUGCCGCCCCGCAGCCUCCGGGCGCGGCCGAGUUGAAUCCCGGGCUCAGCGCUGCUCCUUCCCCCAGGCGCCGGGCCGCUCCCCGCCUGCUCUUCCCCAGUGCUUUCCCCAGGCAUCCCCACCGCCUCCGCCCCGAGAACUCCGUGUUCCCGCAGGAGAAGGACCCGCGGCUCCGCCGCCGCCUCUGCAGCUCCUUCGUCUCUAUCUUUCUCUUUCUUUAAUUUACGACCUUUCGGCUCCUGUUGACACAGUUUUCCACACUGCCUACAGUGCGAGGUCGCAUUGUAAUAUACGCCGAAUGAGCUCAGCCGUCGGGCAGUGCGCAGGAGGGUGGGGAUUUGGUGUUUCCCCACAGUUGAGCGAUGCUCGGCUCCGUCUGAGGAUAACAGCAGUCGGCCUCAUCUCCCAGCUCUCCGGGGGUCGCAGCCUGGGGUCUGCUUUCCUUCCCUCAGAGUCAAACACCUGGAACUGUUCUUCCCACGGGCUCUGUUCUUUUUGACCGCAGAGCGGGAAUGCGGAGAAAAAUAUCUGUAUUUGUCGCUAAAGGCGAGGAGGCAGGCUCCGAACACGCUGUAAGGAAGAUUCUGUGACUUACCGCCGAGCCCAGUUAAACAAACACGGAGCUGACGUCUGGAGCCGCACCGCGCCAGGACCGCUGCUCGAGGUGCGGGCGCAGUCGCGGGCCGGGGGCAGCGCUCGGUGCCUGGUUCAGUGGCGGUGCCUCGGAGCUGCUCUGGCUGAAAGCCCCAUGCCGGCUGAGCCCGAGACCCGCGCUCCGCUCUCCCGGUUCGCGUUACGCGGUGCGCUCCUCCCUCAUUCCCUUUGUGCGCGUUACGCGGCGCUAAGCGCACGGGAGCGGUGUUGCCCAUCGCGGCCGGGACGUCCGCAGUGUCCUCGGAAGCCGCUUCUACGUGAUCCUCUACGGAGCGGCACGAAGCGCUCCGUGAACGCCACGAUCGCAACGAUUUUUGCCAAGAAAUCUCCCGCAUCCAUACUGUACCUGGCUCGGGAUUGUCCGAUAUUUACAUUUUAAUGAUUUUGUUGCUAUUUUUUUUUUAAACGAAGAUUUUACAGUAAGGCAUCUGCUAAACACUUGCAUUAACCUCUGCCUCCAUGAUAAUUCCCCCCCCUUUCCCCCCCCUCGUUUUAAUUACGCUCUGGAUGCGGAGGGGCAGCCAAUCCCGGCAGAGGAGCGCGGCAAUUAGCAGGGCCGACAUCAAAAAGUUUUAUUGCGGAGCCCCGCGGACUCCGCCCCCGCCGCCAGCCAUUGGCGGUCGCCGCCUCUGACGCCAUAUAUUAACCCGAGCGGCCCUAAACAUGUAGCUGUCCAUGGAGGUCGGCCCGGGGAGCCCUGCCAGUGCCCCGGGCCGCGCCGAGCCCCGCCGCCACCGCCCCCCCGAUGUCCCAGCGGAGUGCUGAGCAUUGAGCCGCGCGGCGCGGAGAGGCGCCGACCGCGGCCCCCGAGCGCAGGGGAGUGUGGGCAGCGGCGAGCGGCCGCGGGCCGGGGCGUAUGGAAGGGGCCCGCGUGUAAGUACCACCCGGCCGGGCCGCCGCGGACUUGAGAGCGAGAGCACAGGGAAGCAAGAGGCGAGGAAGAGCCCGGGCUGGGAAGCCGAGCCCAUUUGUUUGGUCGACUGCUCUCCGUAGCGCUUUUUUUUUUCUUUUUUCUUUUCCUUUUUUUUUUUUUUUU
Long non-coding RNA from Lagopus leucura (white-tailed ptarmigan), 2528 nucleotides. RefSeq lists it as uncharacterized. Lineage: Eukaryota; Metazoa; Chordata; Aves; Galliformes; Phasianidae. The transcript has 2 exons. The record is from RefSeq and is a predicted model, not a curated record.